Long non-coding RNA from Lates calcarifer (barramundi perch), 227 nucleotides. RefSeq lists it as uncharacterized. The transcript is spliced from 3 exons. The record is from RefSeq and is a predicted model, not a curated record. Lineage: Eukaryota; Metazoa; Chordata; Actinopteri; Centropomidae.
GGAAGUAUCAUGUUGUCCGUUUCACCAGGAAUGGUGGCAAUGCUACGCUGCAGGUGGAUAACUGGUCGAUCAAUGAACACUUUCCAACAGGGAACAGCGACAUUGAACGCUAUCAAAUGGCCAAUAAGAAAAUUCCUUUCAAAUACUCCCGACCAGUAGAAGAGUGGCUACAAGAGAAAGGGCGGCAGCUAACAAUUUUCAACACUCAAGCAACAGUCGCAAUUGGG